UGCUGUCAUUCACAUCGUCCGUGGUGUGC
This 29-nucleotide non-coding RNA is filed under the name Homo sapiens (human). Lineage: Eukaryota; Metazoa; Chordata; Mammalia; Primates; Hominidae. The record is from RNAcentral.